This 329-nucleotide unclassified non-coding RNA is filed under the name soil metagenome. RNAcentral describes it as "partial contains 5.8S ribosomal RNA, internal transcribed spacer 2, and large subunit ribosomal RNA". The stretch from base 1 to 120 matches the Rfam family "5.8S ribosomal RNA", at positions 35 to 154 of the family's 154-position model. The record is from RNAcentral.
GAUGAAGAACGUAGCGAAAUGCGAUAAGUAAUGUGAAUUGCAGAAUUCAGUGAAUCAUCGAAUCUUUGAACGCACAUUGCGCCCUCUGGUAUUCCGGGGGGCAUGCCUGUUCGAGCGUCAUUACAACCCUCAAGCUUUGCUUGGUAUUGGACAUUGCCAGUUUCUGGCAGGUCUUAAAAUCAGUGGCGGUGCCAUUUGGCUUCAAGCGUAGUAAUUCUUCUCGCUUUGGAGAUCCAGGUGGUUACUUGCCAAUAACCCCCAAUUUUUUCAGGUUGACCUCGGAUCAGGUAGGGAUACCCGCUGAACUUAAGCAUAUCAUAAGCGGAGGA